RNAcentral lists this ribosomal RNA (293 nucleotides) under uncultured Bacteroides sp. RNAcentral's name for it is "partial 16S ribosomal RNA". It matches the Rfam family "Bacterial small subunit ribosomal RNA", at positions 55 to 339 of the family's 1533-position model. The record is from RNAcentral. Lineage: Bacteria; Pseudomonadati; Bacteroidota; Bacteroidia; Bacteroidales; Bacteroidaceae.
AUGCAAGUCGAGGGGCAGCAUUUUAGUUUGCUUGCAAACUAAAGAUGGCGACCGGCGCACGGGUGAGUAACACGUAUCCAACCUGCCGAUAACUCGGGGAUAGCCUUUCGAAAGAAAGAUUAAUACCCGAUGGCAUAGUUCUUCCGCAUGGUAGAACUAUUAAAGAAUUUCGGUUAUCGAUGGGGAUGCGUUCCAUUAGGCAGUUGGUGGGGUAACGGCCCACCAAACCUUCGAUGGAUAGGGGUUCUGAGAGGAAGGUCCCCACAUUGGAACUGAGACACGGUCCAAACUCC